GAUGAACGCUGGCGGCGUGCUUAACACAUGCAAGUCGAACGGAAAGGCCCAAGCUUGCUUGGGUACUCGAGUGGCGAACGGGUGAGUAACACGUGGGUGAUCUGCCCUGCACUUCGGGAUAAGCCUGGGAAACUGGGUCUAAUACCGGAUAGGACCACAUUUUGGAUGGUGUGGUGGAAAGUUUUUCGGUGUGGGAUGAGCUCGCGGCCUAUCAGCUUGUUGGUGGGGUAAUGGCCUACCAAGGCGUCGACGGGUAGCCGGCCUGAGAGGGUGUACGGCCACAUUGGGACUGAGAUACGGCCCAGACUCCUACGGGAGGCAGAAGGGGGGAAUAUUGCACAAUGGGCGCAAGCCUGAUGCAGCGACGCCGCGUGGGGGAUGACGGCCUUCGGGUUGUAAACUCCUUUCGCUAGGGACGAAGCGUUAUGUGACGGUACCUGGAGAAGAAGCACCGGCUAACUACGUG
This 466-nucleotide ribosomal RNA is filed under the name uncultured bacterium. Its description in RNAcentral is "partial 16S ribosomal RNA". It matches the Rfam family "Bacterial small subunit ribosomal RNA", at positions 28 to 507 of the family's 1533-position model. The record is from RNAcentral.